GAGUUUGAUCGUGGCUCAGAUUGAACGCUGGCGGCAUGCCUUACACAUGCAAGUCGAACGGCAGCAUGAUCUAGCUUGCUAGAUUGAUGGCGAGUGGCGAACGGGUGAGUAAUACAUCGGAACGUGCCCUGUAGGUGGGGGAUAACUAGUCGAAAGAUUAGCUAAUACCGCAUACGACCUGAGGGUGAAAGGUGGGGGACCGCAAGGCCUCAUGCUAUAGGAGCGGCCGAUGUCUGAUUAGCUAGUUGGUGGGGUAAAGGCCCACCAAGGCGACGAUCAGUAGCUGGUCUGAGAGGACGAUCAGCCACACUGGGACUGAGACACGGCCCAGACUCCUACGGGAGGCAGCAGUGGGGAAUUUUGGACAAUGGGCGAAAGCCUGAUCCAGCAAUGCCGCGUGUGCGAAGAAGGCCUCGG
This 417-nucleotide ribosomal RNA is filed under the name uncultured microorganism. RNAcentral describes it as "bacterial SSU rRNA". It matches the Rfam family "Bacterial small subunit ribosomal RNA", at positions 9 to 420 of the family's 1533-position model. The record is from RNAcentral.